This 148-nucleotide ribosomal RNA is filed under the name Escherichia coli. RNAcentral's name for it is "partial 23S ribosomal RNA". The stretch from base 1 to 131 matches the Rfam family "Bacterial large subunit ribosomal RNA", at positions 2800 to 2925 of the family's 2925-position model. Lineage: Bacteria; Pseudomonadati; Pseudomonadota; Gammaproteobacteria; Enterobacterales; Enterobacteriaceae. The record is from RNAcentral.
CGAGAUGAGUUCUCCCUGACCCUUUAAGGGUCCUGAAGGAACGUUGAAGACGACGACGUUGAUAGGCCGGGUGUGUAAGCGCAGCGAUGCGUUGAGCUAACCGGUACUAAUGAACCGUGAGGCUUAACCUUACAACGCCGAAGCUGUU